Danionella cerebrum is the source of this 74-nucleotide non-coding RNA. The record is from the annotation of a GenBank genome assembly. Lineage: Eukaryota; Metazoa; Chordata; Actinopteri; Cypriniformes; Danionidae.
GCCGAAAUAGCUCAGUUGGGAGAGCGUUUGACUGAAGAUCUAAAGGUCCCUGGUUCAAAUCCCGGGUUUUGGCA